GAGACAUGUGCAGGGGGUCUCGGAAGAGUUCUCUUUUCUCCUUUACAAUUCUGGCUCGACAUUACUGGCUUUGCUAGUUUAUUGCGAGUAAACUGUGACCAUGAAAAUACGUUCAGUAGUGAAGUGGUUAUACGAGGAUUGGUAGGGCAGGCAUUUUUUGUCCUGUGUAGUAUUCUCCUGUGCAUCAAAGAAAAUCGAAUGGGGCGUUUUCGUGAAGUUUACUUCCUCUUUCUAUACUCUGAUCCGUACCAGAAUCCGCAUCAGGUUCCCGAGGUUAACAGCCUCUGGCCAAUUAGAUUAAUGUAGGUAAGGGAAGUCGGCAAAAUGGAUUUGUACCCUCGGUACAAAGGUUGGCUCUUGUGACAGUGUGGUUUGGGUAUUGUAAGAACCUAGCCGCCUUGAUUUCGGUUAAGGUUAUGUGCAAAAGAAGGCAGGGACUCUCUAGUACUUUCGGGGAAAGGGAGGAAGCGUCAUGCUCUUGUACUGGUUAGGGGACGACUUUACGCAGAUGUGAUUUGGUGUUCUGGGUCAUGUCGAACAAGCCACAAUAAGCUGUCGAACGAGAACCGAUAGAUUCCGGAGGAAUCCGACUGUUUAAUUAAAACAAAGCAAAGAGA
Molecule: ribosomal RNA, 617 nt
Filed under: Blepharisma japonicum
Lineage: Eukaryota; Ciliophora; Heterotrichea; Heterotrichida; Blepharismidae
Description: partial Eukaryotic large subunit ribosomal RNA
Rfam family: Eukaryotic large subunit ribosomal RNA
Source: RNAcentral